CUGUCUCUCUCUCUCUCUCUCUCUCUCAAAAGAUUAAGCUUUAACCUUACACAACGAGCCGUUUCACAAUACCCCUACCUUUCUUUUCCGGCGUCGCGCAGAAGCUCCAUGAGAGCAGUAAGGUGAAAAACAAUCCGAUUUCAGUCGGUCUUGCCAUUUCUCGCGUGUAAAAAACCUCUCAGGCUUCACUCCAUACUUAAAAGGGCUCUUCUUUCAAGGGUUUCUGAAUGUUCGGGGAUCUUGCCUUCUCUUUGACAGCUCCUCCUCCGCGCUCGAGAACAUCAGCGGCGAGAAAGGCGAGUUCUGCGGGACGGGAGCCGAGCCCGUGACGUCAGCGGCAGGAGGGCUCGCGCGCGUGCUGAGCGCCGGACAGCUUCAGGUUUCGAAGCGCAAGACUACUGAGAGAAUGGGGAGAUGCGCUGGCACAUAUACAAAGUUGUGGACAUAAGAGGACACCCAGCUGGACAGUGAAGGAGCCGUCCAAAUCACCAAAGAAAAUGACUCGGACAGACAGAUGAACAACAGGCAACGCUGCAAUGAGGUCAAUCAGAAGGCUGUUUAAGUAUAGAUAUAGUAUCGUACUUAUCUUACGAAUUUUGAUCAUCAAAGCAUUGUUUUAGGACACACACAUAGGCGCAUAUAAAAACACAACACGUGCAUUCAACAAGAUAGUUGUUAGCCAUUCCUAAUUUUAAAAAAAUUUAAAUUUUGUACAUUUAAAAAAAGUUACAUUUCAUUUUUACUUAUAAUUUUGAUAAAUACUUUUAAAAAAAAUUAUUUUGAAUUUUGCUUCUCGAACACCAGAAGCACAAACCAAAUCUACAAAACCAUAUAAUAACAAUAAUCACAUAACCAGGGUGAGUAAAUGAUGACAGUAAAAUUUAGAAUUUUGGGUGAACUAUCCCUUUAACUUUAUAU
This is a long non-coding RNA of Puntigrus tetrazona (Sumatra barb), 918 nucleotides long. RefSeq lists it as uncharacterized. The record is from RefSeq and is a predicted model, not a curated record. NCBI's taxonomy places the organism in Eukaryota, Metazoa, Chordata, Actinopteri, Cypriniformes, Cyprinidae. The transcript has 3 exons.